This 714-nucleotide long non-coding RNA is filed under the name Chinchilla lanigera (long-tailed chinchilla). RNAcentral's name for it is "lncRNA (ENSCLAG00000027702.1)". The record is from RNAcentral. Lineage: Eukaryota; Metazoa; Chordata; Mammalia; Rodentia; Chinchillidae.
GGCUGAGCAUAGCGAAAGAACUGAGGUUUGUGGCAGCAAAGGGAAACCACAGUUCUGAAUGGCAGGGAAACGCCUCCGUAUGCAGAUGGUUUACAUGUGGCCCGCAGAAGAAAGUAUUUUACCCACGGAGUUGGACAGAAAGACUGAGCAAUGGACCUCCUUGGAGCACCAAAACACUGCCUCAUCAUGUGCUGGUACCAGAGGAUCCUGAAGUUGGGGACAUAACUUAUUUAGAAAGUGAACUUGGUCAGAUAAUGGAAGAUGGAGACUGGGGCCGGAGCUGCCCUGGUCCUGUCUUGAGCUGGCCGCCUGGCUGCAGCCUGCUGCUCAUCUGUCCCGUCGGGCCCACUACAGGUCUCCAGGCUUGCACAGGUUCUGCACCUCUGAUGGACCCAGGACGUCAUUCUGCAAGCGCAUCCUUUACAUCAGACUACUGCUUUCCAGACUCCAAAGCAGCUCCUCACAUCUUUUUUUCCCCUAAUUUCAGAAACCACAACCUCCUUGAGGAGAAUCCUUUACUAAAUGGGACAAGUUUCAUGGACUCUCACCUGCUUGAACUUACUCUUUUAAUAUCUUUGUGGAAAAUAUUUACAUGAAAAAAAAUUUAUGAAUUCAAUAAUUUUAAAUGAACUCAUAUUUUACUGUCCACUCUAUACAUUUGGAAAUAGUAGUAGUUAUACAUGGAGAGCAACAGUUUUCUCUAUAAGCGAUGCU